ACGCUAGCUACAGGCUUAACACAUGCAAGUCGAGGGGCAUCAGGAAGAAAGCUUGCUUUCUUUGCUGGCGACCGGCGCACGGGUGAGUAACACGUAUCCAACCUGCCCUUUACUCGGGGAUAGCCUUUCGAAAGAAAGAUUAAUACCCGAUGGCAUAAUGAUUCCGCAUGGUUUCAUUAUUAAAGGAUUCCGGUAAAGGAUGGGGAUGCGUUCCAUUAGGUUGUUGGUGAGGUAACGGCUCACCAAGCCUUCGAUGGAUAGGGGUUCUGAGAGGAAGGUCCCCCACAUUGGAACUGAGACACGGUCCAAACUCCUACGGGAGGCAGCAGUGAGGAAUAUUGGUCAAUGGGCGCUAGCCUGAACCAGCCAAGUAGCGUGAAGGAUGAAGGCUCUAUGGGUCGUAAACUUCUUUUAUAUAAGAAUAAAGUGCAGUAUGUAUACUGUUUUGUAUGUAUUAUAUGAAUAAGGAUCGGCUAACUCCGUGCCAGCAGCCGCGGUAAUACGGAGGAUCCGAGCGUUAUCCGGAUUUAUUGGGUUUAAAGGGAGCGUAGGUGGACUGGUAAGUCAGUUGUGAAAGUUUGCGGCUCAACCGUAAAAUUGCAGUUGAUACUGUCAGUCUUGAGUACAGUAGAGGUGGGCGGAAUUCGUGGUGUAGCGGUGAAAUGCUUAGAUAUCACGAAGAACUCCGAUUGCGAAGGCAGCUCACUGGACUGCAACUGACACUGAUGCUCGAAAGUGUGGGUAUCAAACAGGAUUAGAUACCCUGGUAGUCCACACAGUAAACGAUGAAUACUCGCUGUUUGCGAUAUACAGUAAGCGGCCAAGCGAAAGCAUUAAGUAUUCCACCUGGGGAGUACGCCGGCAACGGUGAAACUCAAAGGAAUUGACGGGGGCCCGCACAAGCGGAGGAACAUGUGGUUUAAUUCGAUGAUACGCGAGGAACCUUACCCGGGCUUAAAUUGCAGUGGAAUGAUGUGGAAACAUGUCAGUGAGCAAUCACCGCUGUGAAGGUGCUGCAUGGUUGUCGUCAGCUCGUGCCGUGAGGUGUCGGCUUAAGUGCCAUAACGAGCGCAACCCUUAUCUUUAGUUACUAACAGGUCAUGCUGAGGACUCUAGAGAGACUGCCGUCGUAAGAUGUGAGGAAGGUGGGGAUGACGUCAAAUCAGCACGGCCCUUACGUCCGGGGCUACACACGUGUUACAAUGGGGGGUACAGAAGGCAGCUAGCGGGUGACCGUAUGCUAAUCCCAAAAUCCUCUCUCAGUUCGGAUCGAAGUCUGCAACCCGACUUCGUGAAGCUGGAUUCGCUAGUAAUCGCGCAUCAGCCACGGCGCGGUGAAUACGUUCCCGGGCCUUGUACACACCGCCCGUCAAGCCAUGGGAGCCGGGGGUACCUGAAGUACGUAACCGCAAGGAUCGUCCUAGGGUAAAACUGGUGACUGGGGC
RNAcentral lists this ribosomal RNA (1445 nucleotides) under uncultured organism. Its description in RNAcentral is "SSU rRNA". It matches the Rfam family "Bacterial small subunit ribosomal RNA". The record is from RNAcentral.